This 216-nucleotide unclassified non-coding RNA is filed under the name Glomus sp. RNAcentral's name for it is "partial internal transcribed spacer 2". Lineage: Eukaryota; Fungi; Glomeromycota; Glomeromycetes; Glomerales; Glomeraceae. The record is from RNAcentral.
GUGAAUCAUCGAAUUUUUGAACGCAAAUUGCACUCUCCUCUGAUAGGAUGCCUGUUUGAGUGUCAGCCUAUAAAAAAUCGACAUCGUGGCUGUUUCGCGGUUUCGGUGGUCGGAAAUUGGGUCAGCUUAGAUCCGUUUGGUUUUAAGUGACCUAAAAUUUUGCUUGUUGUUUUUUGAACGUUUUUAAAAUGUUUUUCGUUAGUUUGUGAUAGUGUC